UGCCUCAGUAACGGCGAGUGAAGCGGCAAAAGCUCAAAUUUGAAAUCUAGCACUUUCAGUGUUCGAGUUGUAAUUUGAAGAAGGUAACUUUGGUUUUGGCUCUUGUCUAUGUUCCUUGGAACAGGACGUCACAGAGGGUGAGAAUCCCGUGCGAUGAGAUGCCCAAUUCCAUGUAAAGUGCUUUCGAAGAGUCGAGUUGUUUGGGAAUGCAGCUCUAAGUGGGUGGUAAAUUCCAUCUAAAGCUAAAUAUUGGCGAGAGACCGAUAGCGAACAAGUACAGUGAUGGAAAGAUGAAAAGAACUUUGAAAAGAGAGUGAAAAAGUACGUGAAAUUGUUGAAAGGGAAGGGCUUGAGAUCAGACUUGGUAUUUUGCGUUCCCUUCCUUUUUGGUUGGGUUCCUCGCAGUUUACUGGGCCAGCAUCGGUUUGGAUGGUAGGAUAAUGACAUUGGAAUGUAGCUUUACUUCGGUGAAGUGUUAUAGACUUUGUUGAUACUGCCUAUCUAGACCGAGGACUGCGUCUUUGACUAGGAUGCUGGCGUAAUGAUCUUAAGCCGCCCGUCUUGAA
RNAcentral lists this ribosomal RNA (566 nucleotides) under Dujonia zeylanoides. RNAcentral describes it as "eukaryotic LSU rRNA". It matches the Rfam family "Eukaryotic large subunit ribosomal RNA", at positions 76 to 658 of the family's 3401-position model. Lineage: Eukaryota; Fungi; Ascomycota; Pichiomycetes; Serinales; Debaryomycetaceae. The record is from RNAcentral.